UGGGAUUUGGCUUAAUGGUAGAGUGCUUGCCUAGUAUGCAUGAAGCCCUGGGUUCGAUUCCUCAGUACUAU
This 71-nucleotide transfer RNA is filed under the name Dipodomys ordii (Ord's kangaroo rat). It matches the Rfam family "tRNA". From Rfam's summary of the family: Transfer RNA (tRNA) molecules are approximately 80 nucleotides in length. The record is from Rfam by way of RNAcentral. Lineage: Eukaryota; Metazoa; Chordata; Mammalia; Rodentia; Heteromyidae.